GAUGAGGUCCAUCUCAUUGAAGAAGUAUUAGGCAUGUGCCUAAUAAAAGUUUUCUUUGGUUUGGUAGCCAACCUUGUUGACUUGGUUUGGUUGGUAGCCAACCUUGUUGAAUUUCUUUGGUUUGGUAGCCAACUUUGUUGAAUUGUGAAAAGUGUGUGUAAAUUGUCAAAUAUGGUAGGCUUUAGAGAGUGAAACUUUGGCUAUAAAAGGAGAGCUUCAACUCUCAUUUCCACACACCAAUAAAGAGAGAAAGAAAGAGUGAGGUUUCACAGACAAGGUAUAAGAAAAUAGUCUGUGAGGAAAAUAGAGAGUGAGCGAUAUUGUAGUGAGGUGGAAUAUCAAAAGAGG
This 348-nucleotide long non-coding RNA is filed under the name Nicotiana tabacum (common tobacco). RNAcentral's name for it is "long non-coding RNA (NTAB_LNC013279)". The record is from RNAcentral. Lineage: Eukaryota; Viridiplantae; Streptophyta; Magnoliopsida; Solanales; Solanaceae.